AACGAACGCUGGCGGCAUGCCUAACACAUGCAAGUCGAACGGGACCUUCGGGUCUAGUGGCGCACGGGUGCGUAACGCGUGGGAACCUGCCCUUAGGUUCGGAAUAACUCCCCGAAAGGGGUGCUAAUACCGGAUAAUGUCUUCGGACCAAAGAUUUAUCGCCUUUGGAUGGGCCCGCGUUGGAUUAGCUAGUUGGUAGGGUAAAAGCCUACCAAGGCGACGAUCCAUAGCUGGUCUGAGAGGAUGAUCAGCCACACUGGGACUGAGACACGGCCCAGACUCCUACGGGAGGCAGCAGUAGGGAAUAUUGGACAAUGGGCGAAAGCCUGAUCCAGCAAUGCCGCGGGAGUGAUGAAGGCCUUAGGGUUGUAAAGCUCUUUUACCCGGGAUGAUAAUGACAGUACCGGGAGAAUAAACUCCGGCUAACUCCGUG
Molecule: ribosomal RNA, 433 nt
Filed under: uncultured bacterium
Lineage: Bacteria
Description: partial 16S ribosomal RNA
Rfam family: Bacterial small subunit ribosomal RNA
Source: RNAcentral